UACGUAGGGGGCAAGCGUUGUCCGGAAUUAUUGGGCGUAAAGAGCUCGUAGGCGGUCUGUCGCGUCUGCUGUGAAAACUCAGGGCUUAACCCUGAGCUUGCAGUGGGUACGGGCAGACUAGAGUGCGGUAGGGGAGACUGGAAUUCCUGGUGUAGCGGUGAAAUGCGCAGAUAUCAGGAGGAACACCGAUGGCGAAGGCAGGUCUCUGGGCCAUAACUGACGCUGAGAAGCGAAAGCAUGGGGAGCGAACAGG
This 253-nucleotide ribosomal RNA is filed under the name uncultured bacterium. RNAcentral's name for it is "partial 16S ribosomal RNA". It matches the Rfam family "Bacterial small subunit ribosomal RNA", at positions 524 to 776 of the family's 1533-position model. The record is from RNAcentral.